UCGAGGUUCGACUAAGCCAUGCGAGUCGAAUGCCGCAAGGCAUGGCGUACUGCUCAGUAACACGUGGAUAACCUACCCUUGGGACGGGCAUAAACCCGGGAAACUGGGUAUAAUUCCCGAUAGGUCUGGGAGGCUGGAAUGCAUUCAGACUGAAAGCUCCGGCACCCAAGGAUGGGUCUGCGGCCUAUCAGGUAGUAGUGGGUGUAAUGUACCUACUAGCCUACUACGGGUACGGGUUGUGAGAGCAAGAGCCCGGAGAUGGAUUCUGAGACACGAAUCCAGGCCCUACGGGGUGCAGCAGGCGCGAAAACUUUACAAUGCGGGCAACCGCGAUAAGGGGAC
This 342-nucleotide ribosomal RNA is filed under the name uncultured Methanotrichaceae archaeon. RNAcentral describes it as "bacterial SSU rRNA". It matches the Rfam family "Archaeal small subunit ribosomal RNA", at positions 33 to 379 of the family's 1478-position model. Lineage: Archaea; Methanobacteriati; Methanobacteriota; Methanomicrobia; Methanotrichales; Methanotrichaceae. The record is from RNAcentral.